This 469-nucleotide ribosomal RNA is filed under the name uncultured bacterium. RNAcentral describes it as "bacterial SSU rRNA". It matches the Rfam family "Bacterial small subunit ribosomal RNA", at positions 26 to 507 of the family's 1533-position model. The record is from RNAcentral.
AGGAUGAACGCUGGCGGCGUGCAUAACACAUUCAAGUCGAACGGAGAGGAGAGAGCUUGCUCUCUCUGAUCAGUGGCGGACGGGUGAGUAACGCGUGAGCAACCUGCCUAUGCGAGGGGGAUAACACAGGGAAACUUGUGCUAAUACCGCAUAAAGUAAUCGGAUCACAUGGUUUGAUUACCAAAGAUUUAUCGCGCAUAGAUGGGCUCGCGUCUGAUUAGGUAGUUGGUGAGGUAACGGCUCACCAAGCCGACGAUCAGUAGCCGGACUGAGAGGUUGAACGGCCACAUUGGAACUGAGAAACGGUCCAGACUCCUACGGGAGGCAGCAGUGGGGAAUAUUGGGCAAUGGGGGAAACCCUGACCCAGCAACGCCGCGUGAAGGAAGAAGGCCUUCGGGUUGUAAACUUCUUUUAGCAGGGACGAAGAACGUGACGGUACCUGCAGAAAAAGCAACGGCUAACUACGUG